GACGAACGCUGGCGGCGUGCCUAAUACAUGCAAGUAGAACGCUGAAGGAGGAGCUUGCUCUUCUGGAUGAGUCGCGAACGGGUGAGUAACGCGUAGGUAACCUGCCUGGUAGCGGGGGAUAACUAUUGGAAACGAUAGCUAAUACCGCAUAACAGUAGAUGUUGCAUGACAUUUGCUUAAAAGGUGCAAUUGCACCACUACCAGAUGGACCUGCGUUGUAUUAGCUAGUUGGUGGGGUAACGGCUCACCAAGGCGACGAUACAUAGCCGACCUGAGAGGGUGAUCGGCCACACUGGGACUGAGACACGGCCCAGACUCCUACGGGAGGCAGCAGUAGGGAAUCUUCGGCAAUGGACGGAAGUCUGACCGAGCAACGCCGCGUGAGUGAAGAAGGUUUUCGGAUCGUAAAGCUCUGUUGUAAGAGAAGAACGAGUGUGAGAGUGGAAAGUUCACACUGUGACGGUAUCUUACCAGAAAGGGACGGCUAACUACGUG
RNAcentral lists this ribosomal RNA (495 nucleotides) under uncultured bacterium. Its description in RNAcentral is "partial 16S ribosomal RNA". It matches the Rfam family "Bacterial small subunit ribosomal RNA", at positions 28 to 507 of the family's 1533-position model. The record is from RNAcentral.